Molecule: long non-coding RNA, 18933 nt
Filed under: Sarcophilus harrisii (Tasmanian devil)
Lineage: Eukaryota; Metazoa; Chordata; Mammalia; Dasyuromorphia; Dasyuridae
Description: lncRNA (ENSSHAG00000021976.1)
Source: RNAcentral
ACCCAAAUUUACUCAGCCAUUCUCCAACUGAUGGGCAUCCACUCAUUUUCUAGUUUCUAGCCACUACAAAGAGGGCUGCCACAAACAUUUUGGCAAUACAGGUCCCUUUCCCUUCUUUAGUAUCUCUUUGGGGUAUAAGCCCAGUAGCAGCACUGCUGUGUCAAAGGGUAUGCACAGUUUGAUAACUUUUUGGGCAUAAUUCCAGAUUUUUCGAAUGGGGAUUGCCCACAACCCACCAACAAUGUCCCAGUUUUCCCGCAUCCCCUCCAACAAUCAUCAUUAUUUUUUCCUGUCAUCUUAGCCAAUCUGACAGGUGUGUAGUGGUAUCUCAGAAUUGUCUUAAUUUGCAUGUCUCUGAUUAAUAAUGAUUUGGAACACUCUUUCAUAUGAGUGGUAAUAAUUUCAAUUUCAUCAUCUGAAAAUUGUCUGUUCAUAUCCUUUGACCAUUUGUCAAUUGUAGAAUGACUUGGUUUCUUAUAAAUUAGAGUCAAUUCUCUAUAUAUUUUGGAAAUGAGGCCUUUGUCAGAACUUUUGACUGUAAAAAUAUUUUCCCAGUUUAUUGCUUCCCUUCUAAUCUUGCUUACAUUUCACUAAUAAUUCCUUAGGAGAGAAUGUAAAAAUAUAUUUCCUUAUGAUGAUGAGGCCAGAGCAUGUGACAAGACAAAAACAAAGUAUACCAGAAUAAUUUUAAAAAAUUUUUUCCAAGACUCAUAUAAAUAGCAUUGUUUUUUCUCUCCUUCACAUGACUCCUCUUUCUCUUAUUCUCUUCUCCCUCCCCCAUCAUUUGUAUUUUUUGGCUUUUUACCAAAUAAAAAGCCAGGAAAAUAUUUAAUAUGUUCAAAUUUUAAGCACUCAUACAAAAAAAAAAAAAAAAAAAAAAACAACAACCCGCAGUUAAUUAACUGUUGAAUGCUACUUUUUGUGCUUUAUUGCUUCAUCCUAUUUUUUAGUCCUCUAAAUUACCUGGAUUUUUUUUUCACUAAGAAAACAAGACUAUUUGAUCCCUAGGUUGACAAAUUAUUCACAAGACUAAUAGCAUAAACAAUCUAAGGCAAUAAAUUUGUCUAGUCAUCACCUUAUUUGGGAUUGACAGAUGUAAUGGAGCAAGAAAAUGAUAUUUCAUUCAUCUUUUCAAGCAGCCAAGACAAAACCAUGAAGCAGGAAAAACUUAUAAACUCACCAUCACUAUCCUUCUAUCCCUCUCCCUAACAGUUCUUUAUUUAGCUCUUUACUUUCUCUUUCUACCCAGAGAUUGUUAUUGUUUGUGCUUCAUUCUCAAAGAGGACCAUAAUAUCAAGAAGGUGAUGCUAUGGCAUGCAAGUGAAUUAUUUGAGUGAGUGAGGGCAAAGUCACAGUCUCACUUUCUCCUCUGGAACCAUCUAGGUCUAGUGUGGCCAGAUUUAGAUCAGAAUGACUGAAGAUAGCUUUCCCUCUUUCCAUCAAUGAAAAUCACAGUCUCUUUAGAUGAUCUUACAAUUUUAAAUCAGUUUUCACAGAAUCACAGAAUUUUGUUGGAAUUUUGUACCCCAGCUGCCAUCUAAUCCAAUCCAAAGCUCAAAAGAAAUUCUUAUAACACUAUACUUGAUAAGUUGUUAUAAGCUUGCUUAGAUUUCACAUGAGAGAUGUUGGGGAAAUCACUAUCUCCUCAUGCAGUCUAUAAUGCCUUUGGAAAAUUCUAAUUCUUAGGAAUAUUUUCUUUAUGUUAAGCUAAAAUCUUCCCUUUGCCACUUCUACCUAUUACUUUCAGUUCCUUCUUCUAACAGGGCUAAUCCUUCUUCCACAUGGUAGUCCCUUCAAACACUUGAAGACUUCUUUAUGUCCCACCUGAAUAUUCUCCAGGCUAAACAUCCCCAGUUCUAGUCUUCUUAUGAUGAUUCAACAUAGUCAUGGUUAUUCUUCUUCUAUAUGCUUUGUAGCUUAUCAAGGCCUUUCCUUCAUUUGAUAUUAUAGCUGAAAAACAUAAGCCUCAUAAUACUUGGUGGUCAGUCUACUGGUGAUAAAUGAGCCUUUCAGAACUUAUCUGGGUCCUCAAAUAAAAGAUAGACUGUUCAGACCCAUUUUUGAAACCUUUUUUGAAAUCUUCCAGAGCUUUCUCAUCAUUCUAUGAGCUUUAUGGGACCCAAAGCAACCAAAUGAGGAGCCAGAGUAUGACUUAAGUAAAGGUUCCUUCCACAGAAGAAUCUUUUCUUAUUUGGCUGAAAAGUUUUGGUUUGGCAGGGAAAGGGGGAACUUUCUGCUAAAAUCCAUAAUCCAUAAAAUCCAUAAAUUGAAGGGAAACCUCUCUUUUCAAUUGGAAGAGUCUUCCAAAGCUUCCAUUUCCUAUCAUUCUCCCUGUCACCCAGGCUUAAUAAUUUUCAUUUGCCUGUAAGUUCCUUGAGGACAGGCUAUCUUUUCCUUCUGUUUUGUAUACCUGGUGUUUAGAACAGUAGUUGGUACACAGUUGACACUUUAUAAAUGUUUUUGAUUGAUGUAUAAGUUUUGAUUGAUUUACAAGAAAUAUUUCUUGAAUCUUUUAUUACUCCUAUCAGUCCUACAUCCAUUCAGUUGUUGAAUCCUGUUGAUUUUACCUCUAUAGUAACUCUCAUUUCCAUCUUAACAUUUAUAUUUCCACCAAUGCAAUUCAGAUCAUCAUUACUUUUGCCUGGAAAAAUGUAAUAACCUGCGAAGUAUAUCCCGUCUCCUGUCUCUUUAGCCCCCUAUUUCUUAUCCAAAAUAAUCUUCCUAUUGCAUAGGUCUAAUUGUAUUGUUCCCUUGCUCAGAAACCAUCAAUUGCUCCCUAAUACCUAUAGAUUUAAAUAUAAACUCCCCAAUCAUGUAUUUAAAAUCCUUCACAAUGGCUACAGCAUAACUUUUGAAUCAUGUUUCAUUUUGCUCCCUUUUAUAUGCUUUAUUAAUACAAAUCCAUCCAAGACGUUGCCCAGUCUCAUUCUUCUCUUACUUGAAGUUGUAUGUGGUCUCUUCAUAGAAACCUCUACAUGUUAAAAAUCUUUUCUCCGAUGUUCAUCAUUUAAGCAGUCUAGCUGAAAGAGAAUAUAUGUUAUAGUAUUUUAUCUAGGUCUAUUCUUGUAUCAUAUUCUAUCUUAGAUUUACUUUUAAUCAUCUUUAAUCUACUUAAAGUGCCCCUCAGAUGGCAAGCUUUUUAUAAUGAAGCCUUUAUUUUAUUUUUCAUAGCACAGUAACUUAUAUGUUCUUAAUGAAUGUUAAUUGAAGUAAAUCAAAUUGGGAGAAAUAUUCUUUCUCCAAGAUUAUUUUAGGAACAGGUUUUAAAGGAUUCUUUCCUAAUUUCUCAAGUAGAUCAUUUGCAACAAAUAUUGUGAGCAAAGGAACAACAGACAGGCUUACAUGCUAUGGCCUUAAAAAAACCUUUAAAAAUUCCUAGCAAGGGAAAAUUGGAAAAUAGUAUGACAGAAAAUAGGUAUUGAAUAAUACUUGACACUCUAUAUAAAAAUAAAGUCAAAAUGAGUUCAUGAUUUAGAGAUAAAGAGUAAUCUAUAAGCAAAUUAGAAGAACAAGGAAUAGUCUGCCUCUCAGAUCUGUGGAGAAGGAAGGAAUUUAUAGUUAAAGAGGAACUAGAGAACAUUAUGAAAUACAAAACGGAUAAUUUUGGUUAUAUUAAAUUUAAAAGUUUUUGUACAAACAAAACCAAUGUCAACAAGAUUAAAAAGGAAGCAGAAAACUAGAAAAAAAAAUUUACAUCCAAGGGUUCUGAUAAAGGCCUCAUUUCUAAACUAUAUAGAGAAUUAACUCAAAUUUGUGAGAAUACAAGGCAUUGAUAAAUGGUCAGAGGGUAUGAAUAAACAAUUUUCAGAUGAAAAAACUAAACCAUUUCUAGUCAUAUGAAAAAAUUCUCUAAAUCACUAUCGAUCAGAGAAAUGCAGAAUAAGACAACUCUGAGGUAGCACUAUACACCUCUCAGAUUGGUUAAGAUGACAGGAAAAGAUAGUGAUAAAUUUUGAAGGACGUGGGAAAACUGGGAUAUUAAUACAUUGUUGGAGUUGUGAAUUGAUCCAUCCAUUCUGGAGAGCAAUUUGGAACUAUGCCCAAAGAACUAUCAAACUGUGCAUACCCUUUGAUUCAGCAUUGCCUCUAUUGAGACUAUAUCUCAAAGAGAUCAUAAAAAAGGGAAAAGGACCCACAUAUAAAAAAAUGUUUGCAGCAACUCUUUUGUAGUGGCAAAGAACUGGAAACUGAGUAGAUUCCUAUCAGUUGAUGAAUGACUGAAUAAGUUAUGGUAUAUGAAUAUUACAGAAUAUUAUUAUUCUAUAUAAGAAGUGAUCAGCAGGAUGAUUUCAGAAAGGCUUGUAGAGACUUACAUGAACUGAUGCUGAGUGGAGUGAGUAGAACCAAGAGAACAUUGUACAUGACAAGAUUAUAUGAUGAUCAACUCUGAUGGAUGUGGGUCUUUUCAGCAAUGAAGUGAUUCGGGCCAAUUAUAAUAAACUUGUGAUGGAGAGAACUCUAUGCAUUCAGAAAGAGGAUUAUAGGGACUGAAGGGACUGUAGGGACUGGGAGGGAGAAACAUUUGGAACACAAGGUUUUAUAAGGGUGAAUGUUGAAAACUAUCUUUGCAUGUAUUUUGAAAAUAAAAAGCUAAUAUUUAAAAAACAAAAUUCCCAGUAAGGGAAAACAAAUCAAAGAUCAGAUGAUAACUGAAAAGUCAUACAUACACACACACACACACACACACACACACACACACACAUACACACACACAUGUGUGUGUGUGUGUGUAUAAAACUAGCUUCUAAGCUUUCAAUCAAUAAGGAUUUGUUAAGUACUUACUAUGUAUCAGGCAUGAUGAUAGGCAAUUGGGAUAAAAAGACAAAAAUGAAGCAGUUUCUGCCCUCAAAUUGCUUAUAAUCUUUGCAAGGAGACUUGCAUAUAUAUAUAUAUAUAUAUAUAUAUAUAUAUAUAUAUAUAUAUACACAAAAUAAAUAGAAGUUAAUUUGUAGUAGGAGGAAGAAACUAGUAGCUGGGGGAUCAAUAAGGGCUUUAUGCAGGUGGUAGCUUCAAGGUAGUCUUGAAGGAGGUUAUAAUCUAAGAUUAAGAAGUAAGGAAAUAGUGCAUUUUAGUCAUGUGGAAUAGGAUUGCAAAGGCCUGGAGGAGAGGGAGAAGAAGUGUUUUAUGUAAGAAAUAAGUACAGUUUGGAUGAUACCUAGAGUGAAUGAAAGGUAGUAAUUUGUAAUAAGACUAGAAAGGGGGAUUAGGGCCAUGUUAUGAAGAACCUUAAGUACUAAUAAAGAAGAGUUUAUAUUAGAUCCUAGAUAAUAAUAGGCUUUACAAAAUAAAGCCUAAGGUUUAUAAAACACUUAGAAAUAUUAUCUCAUAUUAACCUUACAACAACUCUGGAAGGUAGCUGCUAUUAAUUAUUAUUCCCAUUUUACAGAUGAAGCAUUUAGAGAUUAAGUGACUUGCCAAGGUCACACAGCUAGUAAAUGUCUGAAGCCCGAUUUGAACUCAGGUUUCUUGACCCUUAGAGAUAAUAGGAAGCUACUGGAGUUUAAUGAGUAGUGAGGGAAAUGAUAUAUUUAGUCAUAUGCUUUAUUAAUAUAACUCCUAAAAUGAUUGCUCAAGAGACUCAAGUGAAGUUUAGAGUGCUCUGAUAGGUAACUAGUUACAGUGGAAAAAGAAAUUAUAAUUAACUCGGUCCCAUUAAACCACUUAACCAUCAGUAGAAGAUUUACAUUCUAAGAGGUCUGAAAAAAAUCUAGAACUGCAAUUCUGAUCCAAUAUCCUUCCCCCUACCCACUUACCAUAGUUACACCACUGGUAGCUAUGGAAAAAAUGGUCUGGUCAUUCUUUCCUCCCCCUUCUGCAACCUGACCCAGAUCCCUGGAUCUUGUCUUUAAAAAUAAAAGUCCAUCCCAGGUACUUGUUCUGUUCUUACCCUAAUCUCCUUAUCUCCAUUUGCCUCCCUCUUGUCCCCCAAAGGAAUCUGGUGUGAACAAAAUAAGGCAGAUGACAAUCACCUUGUGUGGUCUAUUGGCAGACUUCCAUCACUUGCCCAUUAUUUUUAGUAACAAAGGGUUUGAAAACUACCCGUUGAUAUUUUAGGAAAAACAUGCUAUCUGUCCAGAAUGACAAGUGUUAAAAUAUUGCUCCGUUAGAGACAAGGAUAUCUGGUGUGUCAUUUCAAAGAGCAUUCCCACAACACCAGAAUUGUUCUCUGCCAGCAUUUAUGGUGAUCUUUGGUAACUUUCUAAGUGGGAAUAUAUGCACAGUAGUCAUACAUGCAAUUCAACUAAUUAUGAUUGAUGGUGAGUUUGGGGGUUAGAAGUGGUGCUAAUAUUAGAGUGGUCAUUAGACAAGAAAGGAAGAGUUUAGGCAGGUUGGAAUAUGCUAAAUUAAGAACCAAGGAAAUGUCUUCCCCAUCCUACCCCACUGUUUUAGUCCCAAAUCAUGGAAAUCAUCUUUAAUAACCAUAGAACAUGAUACUAUCAAAUACAUGAUACUAUAUAAAGUAUGCCAUUUUGGGAGCACAUCCUUUAAAUAGACCUUAGCUAAGGCACAGUUCCCACCUGAGGCAUGAUGGGCCACUAGUCCCUUGACUAUUCUUUUUACCCUUCCAUGUACCAAGAUUUAGCUCACUGAUAUCCCCUACUGGUUCCUAACUGAUAGUACUUCUAUUUGGCUUGCCUGGACUCUACCACUUGUUCUUCCUGGUUUCUUGAAACCCACCACCACCACCAAAAAAGAGAAAAAAAAAAAACCCAAUGAUUUUCUUUUAGGAUUUUUAAGAGUUUUGAUGCUAUUUCGGGUGAUGACUUUUUUUUUCCUACAUCAACUUUUGAAGACUACCUCUUAAAUUAUAGGUGGGUUGUGAUUCCUGUCAGCAGAAAUUACAGAUUCUAGAAGUAUUGAAAUGUUAUGAGAGCAUGGGAGCAUGGCAGGGAGGGGUGGUGUCAUUGGAACAAAUCAAAGGGGAAAGUUACAAAAUUUAUAUAUAAUAUUUUCAGUCAAUCUAUGCUUCCAUGCAUACUUUUAGAGAAUUGGGCUUUAUCCUUUCUUAGUUCUUCCUCCUCUUGUCUGUCUGAUUCUCUACUCUGCUGGUAGACUUUGUCCUCAGUGUCAGGAUGGCCAGUGGCCAGUGAAUAGCUUAAAUGUUAUUAUUAUCUCUCCUCAUCUCUAGGCAGGAGACUCUUUUACAGAGCUGAAGGGCACGCACGCCUCUCGCCAUAUCUCUGGGUGUAGAUAGGAGUGAUUGUUUUCUAGGAGUUCAAUAGUUCUUUAAGCUCCAUUGAUUUAAUUGCUAGGUUUUUAACCUGUUUUUUUUUUUUUUUUUUUUUUCCCUCACGUAUAAGUGGGGAUUUAUUAUAGGGUUAGUGUGAGGAUCAUAUUAGACAAUGGUUAUCAAGUGCUUUGUAAAUGUCAGCUAUUAUUAUUUAUAUCCUUAUCAUCUCUAGUUACAACAGUCUAAUUAGACUGAGCCUACUCAUUUCAUAUAAGCAAUUUGGGGAGGAUAAAUUCACUGGAAGAAAUAGAAAAAUAAAGAGGAGAGAUGAGAUUUGUGAAAUAAAGGGAAAAACCCAGAAAAUGCCUCUCUAAUUUCCCCAGAAGCACAUAAGUCACAAAAUUAUAUGACUUCCUCUUUCAGUCUAGUUGUUGGGACUCUGUUCUAUGCACGGUAAGAGGAAGACAAAAGAGAGAAACUCUCUAGGGGAGCACCAUAUGAUUGCCUAAAUACCAGUAUCAAAUGAUUGUUUUUAAUUGCCUUCUCUCUUGUCCCAGUAUCCUUUUCACCCUUGAUUAGACUCAUGCAAAUGUUUUUGGUCUAGAGAGGCAGACUAAUAAUAUCAGUUGCUCUACACUUUUUUUUUUCUUCAGAAAGAUGAUGAUGUAGAAAUAUAUUUUGGAAGUGGCUCACACAAAAUCGCAUGCUAUGAUUCUCUUGUAUGUUGAAUAAACAUUACUUAAUUUGCACAUCGGACAUUAUCAUCAGCAUAUACUUUGUCACUUUUAUAACUUUUAGGAAAUGACAUGGGACUGGGACUUUCUUCACUACUAUAAUAUCUAUUUUUAAAAAAUUUAUUUUAUUAAAAAACAGAAUAAGAAAAAAAAAAAGGAAUACAAAAGAGAACUUUGUCAUGUGCCCAGCAAAAAAUAUCAGAGAGGAUUCAAAAUAUAUAACAACAAAUUAUCAGAUCAAGAAAGCAUAUGUAUUAGUAGAAGAAAUUAUAUUCAUGGGUGUCCAUCUUUUCUUUACUUCCUUAUAAAUUAUUCUUUUGUUUUUUUUCUUUAUUACUUUAUUACUUUGUUCUUUUUUUGCUUUCAGUCCUUAACCCUAUAAUUAGAAAGGGUAUAUUAAGAAGGGGUAAAUUUAUAUAUACAUAUAUAGAUACACACACACACCUCUACCUUUCCUAUCCCUGCUUUAAUUCUGCUCCUAACUUGCCUUGCUAUUUCUUAACUUCCUCCCACCCAUGGAUCCCUCAUUUGUCUUCUUCCCACACCCUUUGCUUCCUAGUCUGCCCACCUCAAUCCUUAUUUCUUUCUGGAUUUUGGAGGAUGCUAUACUCUUCAUGGUAUUUAUGUAGUGUUGCCUAUCUUAAAACAUUCCCAAUGAGAGCAGGUUUUCAAAACCAUGAGCCCUCUUCCUUCCUCUAUUGCUUCUGUGUCUAUUGUUCCUCUGCACCUCAUUUGUAUAACAUAAUUACUAUUUUUACCUUAUCUCUGCCUCAACCUUUCUUUUGAGCUGCCUUAUUAUUGUCAGUCUUAAACAUACAGUAUUCAUUUCCCAUGUAAAGAAAAACAUAAAACAAUUUGUCCACGUUGAGUUCCUUGAAAUUGAUCUUUGAUAUUGGCUCUUAUAUGUUAAAUUUUCUAUUAAGUUCAGGUUUGGUUGAUAGAAAGUCCUGAAAAUCUGCAAGUUUGUUAAAUGUCCAUUUUUUCUCAAUCAAUAUUUUAGAUAAUUUUGCUCGAUGUGAUAUUUUUGGCUGCAGGCCUAGUUCUUUUGAUUGAUUGUAGUUAUGAUUCCAGGCUCUACAGUCAUUUAUUGUGAUUACUAAGUCCUGAACAAUUCCAAUUGAAGCUCCAGCAUAUUUGAAUUUUUUUUCUUUUGUCUUUGUCUUUGAUCUGGGGUUUUUGAAAUUUGGCAAUAAUGUUCCGAUGUGUUUUUCACAAAUGAUUUUGUUGAGGUGAUAAUUGGUGGAUUAUUUUUUUUUCUAUUUCUACUUUCCCCUCAUGUUCUAUCAUUCAAGGACAAUUUUCUUGUAUUGUUUUUUGCAUUAUUGUGUCAAGAUUUUAUUUUUGGUCACCACUUUUAGGCAGUCCAAUUCUUAUAUUUUCUUUUCUUGAACUGUUAUCCAAAUCUAUCAUUUUUCCUAUGUUUCUCAUUCUGUUCUAUUUUUUUCAUUCUUUAUAAUUUCUUUUGUUAUUUCUUGGUCUCUCAUAGUUUCACUGGCUUCCCCUUGCACAAUUCUAAUUUUCAAAGAGUUUUUUUUUUUUGAGACUCUGUAUCUCUCUUCUAGUUGGUUAACUUUUUUUUUUCCACAAUCUUUUUGUUUUUCUUGGAUGAUUUUUAAUUUUAUGUUUUAGUUGUUCCUCAUUGUUUCUCUUUUGAUUUUUAAAUUCUCUUUUAAGUUUUUAUACAAAUUCUUUCUGGACAGGGAGCCAUUCCAUAUUGCUCUUUAGGGUAGAAGCUUUUUUUACUUCAGUGUCUCCUCUGAAGAUGAACCCUGGUUUUCUCUAUUCCCAUAGUAUGUUUCUGUGGUAGAAUUUUUCUUUCUUUGCCAAUUCAUUUUUUUUUUAAGUAAGUGUGUAAGCACCUCUAAUCCUAAGGUGAGGCCUCAGCUCUCCUCUCUGACCAGGAACCCUAAACCAAGAGCUCUCCCCUCCAGCAAGUGCCAGUGUCCCUGCUCUACUGCCCUCUGUACUCACAGAUGCACUGGUUCCUUCUUGCCCAGGGCCACAUCUCUGUAGCAUAGCUGGGCCUAGUAUUCCCCAGCCAAGGUUCCCUCAGUCUUCCUGAACUCAGACCUAGACUCCACAAACACUCCAGGAGGUGAAAGUUUCCAUUGUCCUGCUAAGGUUCUUGUCACACCAACCAGCCCCAGGGCUCCCCACUUGAUGCUUCUGUGGACCUUGCUUGGAGGUGCUUGCACUCACAGAGGUUAUUCCUUGACCUAGAGUCUGUUUUAGGAUCUUCUCUAUAUCAAGAAGACCCCUGUUCUGCCCCAAGCCUUCUUGAUUUUUCAUCAGUUUGUGUUCGCUUUGAGGUAUAAAUUUGUUCUGUUUCUGGGGGAAAUCUGGAGAACCUAAAAUUUACCAACCCACUCUAUUAUUUUCCCAGAAUCCACCCCCCCAUAAUACAUUUUUAUAUUUUUUAAAAGGGUAAGCAUAUUUGCAUUAUCUUCAUGUUCCGUAUGUUAAUUCAUUAGCUUAAAUAAUGUUCAGUUGUUUUUCAGUCAUGUCCAGUUCUUUGUGACACCAUCAAUUAUGAGGCAGCUCAAAAGAAAGAUUGAGGCAGAGAUAAGGUAAGAAUAGUAAUUAUGUUAUACAAAUGAGGUGCAGAGGAACAAUAGACAUAGAAGCAAUAGAGGAAGGAAGAGGGCUCAUGGUUUUGAAAACCUGCUCUCAUUGGGAAUGUUUUAAGAUAGGCAACACUACAUAAAUACCAUGAAGAGUACAGCAUCCUCCAAAAUCUAGAAAGAAAUAAGGAUUGAGGUGGGCAGACUAGGAAGCAAAGGGUGUGACUUUGCUAUUUCCUUCUCCAGCUUAUUUUAUAGAUGAGGAAAUUGAGGCAAGUACAAUUAAGUGGUUUUCCCAAGUUCACAUAGCUGGGAAGUGUUUUAGACUGGAUUUGAGGGGUUAUUGCUUCUGAGCAACAAUUAACUGAAAAAAAAAACCACAUGACCCACUAAUUAUAACCAUAAUUUUCUAUGAAAAAAGAAAGGAACUAUGAUGUAUUAGUAAUGUGUUUUAAAAGCUAGCAUUCAAAGAAAAAUUGAGAGUCAUGAAGAAACAACAGAAGACAGAACUAGGAAAGAAUAGUGUAGGAAAGAAAUAAGAAAGCAUUGAGAAGUAAACAUUCUGAGAGUAGACAAUAGGGACAUUCAUGAAGAGAGAAUAGAACAGUUUUGCAAUCUAUGGGGACAGAGAUUAUGAAGGGGGGAAGGAAAUGUACAAAUACUGUAACCCAUGAAGAUAUAUCGACUUUCCAGUGUAGCUGGAUUUAGAGUAAAAGAGAAGGUAAAAAGGCAUAACUGUGUUUCCUAUCAGAGUCCUUGAAGGUCUUAAGUAUGUCACACUGAAGAUAUAUCAACUAGGUAAUAAUAGCAAUUUAUAUUUGUACAGCACUCUAACCAGUGAAAGCAGCUUUGGUUUACAGUGUACUUUCCUCAUAGCAAACCUGUGAGGUAGGGAGUGCAAAUAUCCUGUCCAUUUUGCUAGUGAGGAAACUCUUAUUAAUAAUAGAAGCUUAUAUUUAUAGAGCACUUUAAAGUUUGCAAAAAGCUUUGAAUACAUUAUUUAAUUGUGAGGUGAAUGUUAUUAUCUCAGAUUUACAUAUGAGGAAACUAUGACUAGGAGAUUUUGUGGCCUGUCCAUGGGCGUGUACCUAGGGAAUAUCAGGGCUAUGAGCAAUGCUCAUUUCUCUGUACCAAGUUGUUCUUAACUUGAGGUACAUGAACUUGUUUUCAUAUAUAUAUAUAUAUAUAUAUAUUUGAAUUGUUCUAUAAAAAAUGAUCAGCAGGAUGAUUUCAGAAAGGCCUGGAGAGACUUACAUGAACUGAGCCUAAGUAAAUCAAGUAGAAUCAAAAGAACAUUAUACAUAAAAACAACAAGAUCAUACAAUGAUCAAUUUUGAUGGAUGUGGCUCUUUUCAAUAGCGAAGUGAUUCAGGCCAGUUCCAAUGGUCUUGUGAUGGAGAGAGAGCCAUCUGCACGCAGAGAGAGGACUGUGGGGACUGAGGGUGAAUCACAACAUAAUAUUUUCACUUUUUUGUUGUUAUUUGCUUGCAUUUUGUUUUCUUUCUUAUUUUUAAAAUUAUUUUUCUAUACACAUUUAUGGAGAUGUAUAUAGAAGAAUUGUACAUUUAACAUGUAUUGUUUGCCAUCUAGGGGAGGGGAGAGGGAGAAAAAAAUUUGGAACACAAGGUUUUGCAAGGGUGAAUGUUGAAAACUAUGCAUAUAUUUUGAAAAUAAGAACUUUUAAAAUAUAUAUAUAUAUAUAAAUAUAUACAUUAAUUACUAAAUAAUAUAAUUAUAUCAUUAAAAUAUAUGUUUGAAAAAUGUGUAUAUUUGUGUAUAUAUAUGUAUGUAUUUCAUUGUAUUGGGUUCCUUUGUUAUUCUAUGAUAUGUUAUUCAUCUAAUGCACUUAAAAACAUUAUCCUGAGAAAGGUUCUAUAGGCUUUCACUGAUUUGCCACAUGAUGCAGAAAAAGAUUGAGAAACCUAUAUCAUACUCCAUAUAUUAGCAUAUUUUGGAGUGGGGACACUAUGCUAUAUAUAAUAUGUUAUAUAUAAUAGCAUAUAUUGGGGUGAGGAGAGGUGUGAGGUAGGAGGCUUCAGUUAUCUAAAAUACUUUGUCUUUUUUUGCAGCUAUUUUAUUUUUAAUAGCUUUAUAUUUUUCAAAAUACAUGCAAAAGUAGUUUUCAACAUUCACCCUUACAUAGCCCUGUGUUUCAUACUUUUCUCCCUCCCUCUUCACCUUUCCACUCCUCUAAACAGCAAUUAAUCCAAUAUAGAUUAAAUAUAUGCAGUUUUUCUAAACCUAUUUCCGUAUUUAUCAGAAAAAUUAGAUCAAAAAGAAAAAAUGGGAAAGACAACAAAAAGCAAGCAAAACAAUAAUAACCAAAAGGUGAAAAUACUAUGUUGUGAUAUACUUUCAGUCUCCAUAGCACUCUUUUUAGAUGCAGAUGGUUUUCUCCAUCACAGGUUUAUUGGAAUUGGCCUGAAUUACCAUAUUGUUGAAAAGAUCCAUGUUGAUCACAGUUGAUCAUCACAUAAUCUGGUGAUGUGUGCAAUGUUCUCUUGGUUCUAUGCACUUCACUCAGCAUCAGUUCGUGUAAGUCUCUCCAGGCUUCUCUGAAAUCAUUCUGUUGAUUGUUUCUUACAUAAUAAUAUUUCAUUAAAUAUUAUGGAAUAUUAUUGUUCUGUAAGAAAUGAUCAACAGGAUCAUUUCAGAAAGGCCUGGAGAGACUUACACGAACUGAUGCUGAGUGAAAUGAGCAGGACCAGGAGAUCAUUAUAUACUUCAACAACAAUACUAUAUGAUGACCAGUUUUGAUGGACCUGGCCAUCCUCAGCAAUGAGAUCAACCAAAUCAUUUCCAAUGGAGCAGUAAUGAACUGAACCAGCUACGCCCAGAGAAAGAACUCUGGGUGAUGACUAAAAACCAUUACAUUGAAUUCCCAAUCCCUAUAUUUAUGCCCACCUGCAUUUUUGAUUUCCUUCACAAGCUAAUUGUACAAUAUUUCAGAGUCUGAUUCUUUUUGUACAGCAAAAUAACAGUUUGGUCAUGUAUACUUAUUGUGUAUCUAAUUUAUAUUUUAAUAUAUUUAACAUCUACUGGACAUCCUGCCAUCUGGGGGAGGGAGUGGGGGGGUAAGAGGUGAAAAAUUGGAACAAGAGGUUUGGCAAUUGUUAAUGCUGUAAAGUUACUCAUACAUAUAACCUGUAAAUAAAAGGCUAUUAAAAAUAUUUUAUUACAUUCAUAUACCAUAACUUAUUCAACCAUUCUCUAACUGAUGUUUAACGCAGUUUCCAGUUUCUUGCCACCACAAACAGGGCUGCUACAAACAUUUUUGUACGUAUGAGUCCUUUUCCCUCCUUUAUGAUCUUUUUGGAAUAUAGACCCAGUAGAAAUACAACUAGAUCAAAGGGUAUGCACAGUUUGAUAGCCCUUUAGACAUGGUUCUAAAUUGUCCUCCAGAAGGGUUGGAUUAGUUCACAACUCCACCAACAAAGUAUUAGUCUCUCAGUUUUUCUAUAUCUUCUCCAAUAUUUAUCAUUAUUUUUUUCCUGUCAUCAUAGCCAAUUUGAGAGGUGUGACUUCACACCUCAGAGUGUACUGCAGAGUUGUCUUUAUUUGUAUUUCUGUAAUCAGUAAUGAUUUAGAACCUUUUUUUUUUUCAAAUGAUUAGAAAUGGCUUUAAUAUCUUCAUCUGAAAAUUAUCUGUUCAUAUCCUUUGACUAUUAUCAAUUGAAGAAUGACUUGUAAAAUACUCCAUCUUUCACUAUUACUGAGAUGCUUCACAAUGAUUAAUGCUAAUGAUGACUAUCUCAAGCUAUCAAGAUAUAAGAUUCAGCUUGUGAAAAUGUAGAAGUUUGGACUUUUAAAAGGAUUAACUUCUGGUUGGAAGGUACCCAGAACAACUAAUUGCCCAAGGAUUCUAUAUAGCUAAGGUUGCUGCUUAGCAGCACCAACUCUUUCAGAAAUUUACAUUAUUUCUUCUUAAAUAAAGUUUUUCUCUCCGAUACAAACAAAGGUUGUUUUUUUGUUUUGUUUUUUUUCAGAUCUUACCUUUUGAAAUACACUCUAGUAUUCUCUUUAAUCACACUAACCUGUAGGGAUGUAUGUUCUGUUAAUGUCCUUUUAUAGUGAAGUUGUCAGUUUUGUGAAUCAGUUGGAAUUUCAUUCUUUUGUUCUAGUGUUUCACAGAAUAGUCAUAAUUACAUCUUGCUCUUCUUUCCAUGGAUUUUCACUUACCCAGAUGACAGCCAAUCAUUUAUUUAUUGCAUAAGCUUACUGUAUUAGAGGCUAUGAAAUUUUUUUGUACUGAACCUAUGGUUUUAUUGGUCUGGGAAAUUCCAUAUGAGGAAACGGCUUUUUACCAAUGCAGAUGAAUACUUGUUCUUCAAUUAUAAGAUUAGAGAGUUCCAUGGGAGCACUGAUAGGUUUAGUUCCUUUCCCAGCUUAGUUCACUUAGCUAGCAUGUGUCAGAGGUGGGACUUUAAUCCAGAUUUUUCUAAUUUGUAGAUCAGUUCUCUAUCCAGUAUAUCAGGAUGCCUUUGGGGCAUUAUGUUAUAUAUAAAAUGCAUUCCCUGACCUCAGGGAGCUUAUAGUUGAAGUAUAGAGAUGAAGUUUUUAUAGAAAAAUAUAGCUGACAAUAUGCCACCUGCAGGUAGGUGUCAGCUGAGCAACAUAGAUUAUGAGUCUCAUUCAUAUACUUCGAUUGCUAAUAAUUUACAUUUAUUUAGCAUUUUAAGGUUGUACUUUUCUGUUCCAAAAAAAGAGGGAUCACAGUAAUCUGCGAUGAUGAGGGGAAUAUUUGUGAAGAAAGUAGAAUUUAAGGUAGAUCUCUUUUUUAGGAAUGGAAAAAUUUUUUUAAAAUUAAAAUAAUAUUUAUUUUCUUCCAAUUAUAUGUUAAAAGAGUCUUUAAUAUUUAAAAAAGUUUUUCUUGAGUUCCAAAUUUUAUCACUCCAACCCUUCUACCUGAGAUGAUAAACAACAAUCAUUUAAAGUGUUUCCAUAUUAGUCAUUUUUCCAUUUCAAUACUAGUCAAAUCAAGAAGACCCAAAGAAAAGAUAAUGAAAAAGAGUAUAAGACAGCUCUUUAAAGAGUAGGAAGGCUUCAAAUAAGUAAAGGAAGAAAGGCAUUCUAGGCAAAGCGAAUAUUGUAAGCAAAGCUAUGAGACCAGAAUGAGCUAGUGAAGGUAAUGUGCUUAUUUUACAAAAAGCCCUAGAAUAAGAUUUAGGGGACCUGUAACAGGUCCUGACUCAGCUACAAAUUGUGGCGUGGUUGAACCAGGUUAUCUUGAAUGUCUCUUAUGGUUCUACAAUUCUGUGACUCCAUAUAUAUAGUAGGACAAUGAGCAGAUGAAUAUGACUAGCCUAAAAAAUUUGUGUAGGGAAGAAGUAGGAAAAUAUAUUUUCAUCAGUUAAUUGGAUCUAUGAUAUAUAUCUAUGUAGAUGUUUAAUAAUAGGCAAUCUGAGGAGGCUGUAAGACAAUGAGGAAUUAAUGAAGUUCUUUGAAUGGGAUGUGACAUGCUAUCAGAGCUGUCAGUCAAUAAACAUUUAUUAAACUCUUUCUGUGUGCCAGAAUUCUAGAGUACAGAAUGAGUACAGAAGAAAUAUCGCAUAGAUAAAAUUGACAGACUGCAGCAACAGAUUGGAUGUGAGGGGAAAGAGAUAGGAGUUGAGGAUGACUUCUAGCUAAGAGCCCAAAGGGCUGGGAGGUUAGUGAUCCCUCUAUAGUAAUAGUGGGAGAAGAGGGUUUAGGGUGAAAGUAAUGAGCUUGAUUUUGGACAUGUUUAAUUUAAAAUGUCUACUGGACAUCUAGUUUGAGAUGUCUGAAAAGGCAGUUAAGAGAUGUAUGAAUAAAAAGCAUGAUUUGAUGUUGAGAGGGAAAGGAUAGAAUGAUAGUAUAUUUGUGCUCAGAUAAUGGAAUUUCAGAGUUCAUGAACAUGGAGAUGGUGUAUUUGCAGGAGAUGAUAAGAUCAUGAUCAUCUUUGUGUAUGGUUAUGGUUGAGUGAGGAACAAGUCCUGUGAAAUGAAUAAAUUGAGGAACUGUAAGGAAUAAAUUGAGGGAUAAUCACUUUAUAUGUUGAAGGCCCUUAAUAUGAAGACAGGAGCUGAGGAAGGAGGAAAGACUGAGGUAUUAAACUAAACCUUCAAGAUUAACCUGGCGAUUGUAUUCCUAAUGGACAGGAAUGCAGAGAGACUGCCAGGCUUGGUUAGAGUGAGGAAAACUUGGGUUCAGAUUUCACCAUGGAUAUUUCCUACUUCAGUUAAAGGUGUGACCUAACAUCUCUCAGCCUCAGUUUGCUUACCUGUAAAACAAUUAAUACUAGAACCUAGUUCUAUCUUGGCUCAAAUGAGAUCAUAUAUGUAUUUUGUAAACACUAAUGCUUCUAUAUAAAUUCCAAUGAUGCAAUUGUAAACUGUCCUUAUGAGGAUGGCACCUAUAAGCCCAUACGUAAUCAGCCUUAGCCAAUAUGUAGGUCAUUUGUUUUUAUUCUAAUAAUAUUCAUCUUCACAAAUUGCCAAUUCAUUGCAAUCCAAUAUGUAAAGAAUAGUUAUACUCAGAUAAAAUAUUGCUUUUACCAGUCUUGCUGCACAGUAAUCAUGUAACCAAAUAAGAUGAGGUGAAUACAAAUGUACUCUUAUCUCAGUGUCUUAUGGAAAUUUAAACAGGUGUGCUAAACAGUUUAUAUAGCAAUUACAAUAUGAGGAGAGGGACAUCCCAGUUUUUGAAUAAGCAGGACUGAUUUUGUUUAUGAAUGAGCAAUUCAUAUACAGUGGAUGGUGGUAGUGAUGGGUUGUUGGGUUUUUUUUUUUUUUUUUUUGGCCUCUUUUCUCUCUUUAAUCCAGACUACUGAGCUGAAUGGUGAAUUGAAAGCAAAGUUCUUUGUGUAUAGGGCCAUUUUUAUGGGAAAAAAUAUAAUUUUCAAAAAAGAAUCUGAGCUUUUUGUCUCAGCCAUCUUUUUGACCCUGGAAAAUCUGCUUGUAGCUUUUUUGGUGAAAGUCAGAAUAUGGCAUGAUCCUCCAAUGGAAGAAUAUUGGAAAGGGUUUUUAUAGCCCAUAGAGUUUCACUUUUCUUUCUAGGUAUUUGAUCAUAGCUGAUAGGGAAAUGUUUUUUUGAAGUAGGUAAUGUAAAGGAACUGUUUCUCUUUUCUCUACAGAUAAAAUCUGGAGACUUGGAAAUGGUCCAACUGUAGUGAUGAGUUUGACAAUUUCACACCAUGGGAAUCUCACCUGUGCCUCAAUAAACACAGAUUAUCAGCUCUCAGCUAGAGAUUGCCUAAGAAGCUGGGACUUGGAAGAUUAAAAAAGCAAAGCAAAAGAAACAGAGGUACAAACCUAGGCAAAAAUUAUUUGCCUAGAACCUUGGUGCCAUCUCUUUUGGCCUCAAGCUUGUGUAGCUCCUGCGAUUUAGUUAGUGUAUACAGUACUGUUCUUCCACUUGUGCCUAAAUGGGACAACAACCCAACAGCCAGACUGAAGACGAAGGGGUGAAAAGCAAAGUCCAUGGCAACUUAUCCUUGCCAAUUAUGUGGGAAGAUACUCCUUACCCUGGAAAAAUUCACUAUCCACACUUACUCCCACACAGGGGAACGUCCUUACAAGUGCUUGCAGCAAGGCUGUGCAAAAGGGUUCAUUUCCAAAUAUAAGCUCAUCAGAAAGUGCUGCUAUUUCAUUAUCAAUCCAGUUCAAUUCAGCAAGGAUUUAUUAUUACCAGAUGAGGGAAUUUGAAUCCUAUGGAGUUUAAGUGGCUUGUCCAAAUUUACUGAGGCAGUAAAUGUUAGAGGUGAGAUUUGAACCUAGGCCUUCUAACCCUAGAGUCAGUAUAAGAAGGCAUUGGAAGACUGGUAAAUAGAAGUCUCUAACAGGCAGAUGUAAAGAAAAGUUAAUUAACAUUUAAAACUGCCCACAAGUAGGUUGGCUACCUUAUAUAUGUAGUACGGGGUUCAGUGCCAAGGAUAGAAUAUCCAGGAAAGCCCACAUAAUAUAAUCUCUCUCCUCUCUCCUCUUUUUUUGAUUUUGGCUAGAAUGCUUGCUAAAAUAUUUUUCUCCUCUCUCUCCUUCUCCCUUAUCUAUUUCCCCCUUCCCCCGCAGUGAUUUAAGGAUAAUUCAGAUUCAGGUUAAAGUCUCUUUCUCUAAUCUUUAAUUCUCCUGCUGUUAACUUUGGUUCUCUUUAGAAAUUGGUCACAGCCAGCUCCAUGUAAGUUGUGUGUGUGGGGGGGUGGUUCUGUGAAAGCUUAUUGUUGGAUUACUGUGCCUCCACCUGAUUCUGGCUUCCUCUUUGAACAGAACUCUAUAUGCUUCAGUCCCACUCUAGCUCUCUUCCUCCUGAAUGCUCCCCAAAGGAUCACAUUCCCAAGACUUGCAUGCUAAAUUAGUUUUAUGUAAUAGGGAGAACAAAUUAGAACAGAAAAGGAGGGGCAGGUGGGGGAGGAGGGAAGGAACUGAUCAGCAAAGACAACAACGGUAUGGCAGAUACUGAAUUUCUUCCUAUAGAGAGCAGCAAGAGGCUUUCUGUUUAGAUGCUAGAGAUG